RNAcentral lists this long non-coding RNA (317 nucleotides) under Carica papaya (papaya). RNAcentral's name for it is "long non-coding RNA (CPAP_LNC011331)". The record is from RNAcentral. Lineage: Eukaryota; Viridiplantae; Streptophyta; Magnoliopsida; Brassicales; Caricaceae.
GCAUACUUACUGUAACGAGAUUUCCAAAACCAACUUAUAGAGUCAAGAACAUAAACAAUAUCAUAAUCUCAUAUGCAAUCAGUCAGAACAGCAACCUUCUCUUUUAUUAGUCUACUGAUAUCCAUUGGGGUCUAUAGGGAUAUCCCCACUACACAUGAAUCUUUAUUCAACAUUUUCAAAUAACGGGCCGUCCCCAUACCCCAUCCGGUAUGAGCGCCAAAUUACCAAUCCUCGAUACUCCGUCCGGUAUAAAACAACGUUCACGGUAGGGUUCCCUAUAUACCUGGUCCGUCCAUUAUCUUUCAGGAUAUCGAGUA